Molecule: non-coding RNA, 125 nt
Organism: Brachypodium distachyon (stiff brome)
Lineage: Eukaryota; Viridiplantae; Streptophyta; Magnoliopsida; Poales; Poaceae
Source: Rfam
CCCAUACUCCCUCCGUCCCAUAUUAAGUGACUCAAGUUUGACCAAAUAUGGAUGUAUCUACACCGAAAAAGUGUCUAGAUACAUGUAAUAUUUCGUCACUUAAUAUGGGACGGAGAGAGUAUCUA